GAUGAACGCUGGCGGCGUGCCUAAUACAUGCAAGUCGAGCGAACAGACGAGGAGCUUGCUCCUCUGACGUUAGCGGCGGACGGGUGAGUAACACGUGGAUAACCUACCUAUAAGACUGGGAUAACUUCGGGAAACCGGAGCUAAUACCGGAUAAUAUAUUGAACCGCAUGGUUCAAUAGUGAAAGACGGUUUUGCUGUCACUUAUAGAUGGAUCCGCGCCGCAUUAGCUAGUUGGUAAGGUAACGGCUUACCAAGGAGACGAUGCGUAGCCGACCUGAGAGGGUGAUCGGCCACACUGGAACUGAGACACGGUCCAGACUCCUACGGGAGGCAGCAGUAGGGAAUCUUCCGCAAUGGGCGAAAGCCUGACGGAGCAACGCCGCGUCAGUGAUGACGGUCUUCGGAUCGUAAAACUCUGUUAUUAGGGAAGAACAAAUGUGUAAGUAACUAUGCACGUCUUGACGGUACCUAAUCAGAAAGCCACGGCUAACUACGUG
This 497-nucleotide ribosomal RNA is filed under the name uncultured bacterium. RNAcentral's name for it is "partial 16S ribosomal RNA". It matches the Rfam family "Bacterial small subunit ribosomal RNA", at positions 28 to 507 of the family's 1533-position model. The record is from RNAcentral.